UACGGAGGGGUUAGCGUUGUUCGGAAUUACUGGACGUAAAGCGCACGUAGGCGGAUUGGAAAGUUGGGGUGAAAUCCCGGGGCUCAACCCGGAACUGCCUCCAAACUUCCAGUCUGGAGUUCGAGAGAGGUGAGUGGAAUUCCGAGUGUAGAGGUGAAAUUCGUAGAUAUUCGGAGGAACACCAGUGGCGAAGGCGGCUCACUGGCUCGGUACUGACGCUGAGGUGCGAAAGUGUGGGGAGCAAACAGGAUUAGAUACCCCGGUAGU
This 267-nucleotide ribosomal RNA is filed under the name uncultured bacterium. Its description in RNAcentral is "partial 16S ribosomal RNA". It matches the Rfam family "Bacterial small subunit ribosomal RNA", at positions 524 to 794 of the family's 1533-position model. The record is from RNAcentral.